CCUACGGGAGGCAGCAGUGGGGAAUUUUGGACAAUGGGCGCAAGCCUGAUCCAGCUAUUCCGCGUGUGGGAAGACGGCCUUCGGGUUGUAAACCACUUUUGUAGAGAACGAAAAGUCUAUUGAUAAUACCGAUAGACGAUGACGGUACUCUAAGAAUAAGCACCAGCAAACUACGUGCCAGCAGCCGCGGUAAUACGUAGGGGGCGAGCGUUAAUCGGAAUGACUGGGCGGAAAGGGUGUGCAGGGGGUUUUGCAAGAUGGAUGUGAAAGCCGGGGGCUUAACCUGGGAAAGCGAUGCAUGAGUGCGAGACUAGAGGGCGUCAGAGGGGGGUGGAAUUCCAAGUGUAGCAGUGAAAUGCGUAGAUAUUUGGAAGAACAGCGAUGGCGAAGGCAGCCC
This 397-nucleotide ribosomal RNA is filed under the name uncultured bacterium. Its description in RNAcentral is "partial 16S ribosomal RNA". It matches the Rfam family "Bacterial small subunit ribosomal RNA", at positions 338 to 727 of the family's 1533-position model. The record is from RNAcentral.